RNAcentral lists this transfer RNA (72 nucleotides) under Planctomycetaceae bacterium. RNAcentral's name for it is "tRNA-Gln". It matches the Rfam family "tRNA". Rfam says of the family: Transfer RNA (tRNA) molecules are approximately 80 nucleotides in length. Their secondary structure includes four short double-helical elements and three loops (D, anti-codon, and T loops). The record is from RNAcentral. RNAcentral also lists the same sequence under 1 other name. Lineage: Bacteria; Pseudomonadati; Planctomycetota; Planctomycetia; Planctomycetales; Planctomycetaceae.
UGGCCCGUGGUGUAAUUGGCAACACACCUGACUCUGGAUCAGGCAUUCUAGGUUCAAGUCCUAGCGGGCCAG